This 73-nucleotide transfer RNA is filed under the name Bipalium adventitium. RNAcentral describes it as "tRNA-Gly". Lineage: Eukaryota; Metazoa; Platyhelminthes; Tricladida; Geoplanidae. The record is from RNAcentral.
CUUUAUUAAGUAUUAAUGAAUUUAUAUUUAUUUUCCAAAUAAAAGAACAAAAAUUUAUAUUUUUGAAUAAAGA